RNAcentral lists this ribosomal RNA (330 nucleotides) under uncultured bacterium. RNAcentral's name for it is "bacterial SSU rRNA". It matches the Rfam family "Bacterial small subunit ribosomal RNA", at positions 568 to 898 of the family's 1533-position model. The record is from RNAcentral.
UUCGUAGGUGGUGCGGCAAGUUGGGAGUGAAAUCUCUGGGCUUAACUCAGAGGCUGCUUUCAAAACUGCCGUGCUCGAGUGCGAGAAGAGGCCAGUGGAAUUGCAGGUGUAGCGGUGAAAUGCGUAGAUAUCUGCAGGAACACCCGUGGCGAAGGCGGCUGGCUGGAUCGCAACUGACACUGAGGAACGAAAGCUAGGGGAGCAAACAGGAUUAGAUACCCUGGUAGUCCUAGCCCUAAACCAUCAGAACUUGGGGUGGCUCGCGUAGGCGGGUCGUCCCGUAGCUAACGCGUUAAGUCUGCGCCUGGGGAGUACGGUCGCAAGACUGAA